CGGAUGACACGAAUGAAAAUUUAAGUAUUGAUGGGUGUCUUUGGAUUUAUAAUAAAUAUCCGUUGUUAUAUGUCUGCCUGAUUUUAAGAUGAGGAUAUCCAGAAAUGGUAGUUGUGUGUCACUGGUUUCCGUGGUGAAUUUAAUCGACGGAUGUAAGGAGUUGAUUAGAUCUUUAAAUUUAUAUAAAUCUUUUUCUGAUCUGCUCCAAAAUAUUAUGCAGUCAUCUAAAUAUCUUUUCCAAAACUGAAUGACA
This 253-nucleotide long non-coding RNA is filed under the name Mytilus galloprovincialis (Mediterranean mussel). Lineage: Eukaryota; Metazoa; Mollusca; Bivalvia; Mytilida; Mytilidae. The record is from RNAcentral.